RNAcentral lists this ribosomal RNA (254 nucleotides) under uncultured bacterium. Its description in RNAcentral is "partial 16S ribosomal RNA". It matches the Rfam family "Bacterial small subunit ribosomal RNA", at positions 524 to 776 of the family's 1533-position model. The record is from RNAcentral.
CACGUAGGGUGCGAGCGUUGUCCGGAAUUAUUGGGCGUAAAGAGCUUGUAGGCGGUGUGUCGCGUCGGCCGUGAAAACCUGCAGCUUAACUGUGGGCUUGCGGUCGAUACGGGCAUCACUGGAGUUCGGCAGGGGAGACUGGAAUUCCUGGUGUAGCGGUGAAAUGCGCAGAUAUCAGGAGGAACACCGGUGGCGAAGGCGGGUCUCUGGGCCGAAAUUGACGCUGAGGAGCGAAAGCGUGGGGAGCAAACAGG